ACGGGAGGCAGCAGUGGGGAAUAUUGCACAAUGGGCGAAAGCCUGAUGCAGCGACGCCGCGUGAACGAAGAAGUAUUUCGGUAUGUAAAGUUCUAUCAGCAGGGAAGAUAAUGACGGUACCUGACUAAGAAGCACCGGCUAAAUACGUGCCAGCAGCCGCGGUAAUACGUAUGGUGCAAGCGUUAUCCGGAUUUACUGGGUGUAAAGGGAGCGUAGGCGGUAUGCUAAGUCUGAUGUGAAAGCCCGAGGCUCAACCUCGGUACUGCAUUGGAAACUGGUAAACUAGAGUGUCGGAGGGGUAAGUGGAACUCCUAGUGUAGCGGUGAAAUGCGUAGAUAUUAGGAGGAACACCAGUGGCGAAGGCGGCUUACUGGACGAUAACUGACGCUGAGGCUCGAAAGCGUGGGGAGCAAACAGGAUUAGAUACCCUGGUA
This 434-nucleotide ribosomal RNA is filed under the name uncultured Roseburia sp. RNAcentral's name for it is "bacterial SSU rRNA". It matches the Rfam family "Bacterial small subunit ribosomal RNA", at positions 341 to 792 of the family's 1533-position model. The record is from RNAcentral. Lineage: Bacteria; Bacillati; Bacillota; Clostridia; Lachnospirales; Lachnospiraceae.